Molecule: transfer RNA, 73 nt
Filed under: Bos taurus (domestic cattle)
Lineage: Eukaryota; Metazoa; Chordata; Mammalia; Artiodactyla; Bovidae
Also listed under: 2 other names
Rfam family: tRNA
About the family: Transfer RNA (tRNA) molecules are approximately 80 nucleotides in length.
Source: Rfam by way of RNAcentral
UUCCUGGUCGUCCAGUGGCUAAGACUCUUUGCUCCCAAUGCAGGAGGCCCAGGUUCGAUUCCUGGUCAGGGGA